RNAcentral lists this ribosomal RNA (903 nucleotides) under Lachnellula willkommii. RNAcentral describes it as "LSU rRNA". It matches the Rfam family "Eukaryotic large subunit ribosomal RNA", at positions 39 to 959 of the family's 3401-position model. Lineage: Eukaryota; Fungi; Ascomycota; Leotiomycetes; Helotiales; Lachnaceae. The record is from RNAcentral.
CAUAUCAAUAAGCGGAGGAAAAGAAACCAACAGGGAUUACCUCAGUAACGGCGAGUGAAGCGGUAACAGCUCAAAUUUGAAAUCUGGCUCUUUUAGGGUCCGAGUUGUAAUUUGUAGAAGAUGCUUUGGGCGUGGCUCCGGUCUAAGUUCCUUGGAACAGGACGUCAUAGAGGGUGAGAAUCCCGUAUGUGACUGGUAGCUUUCGCCCGUGUAAAGCUCUUUCGACGAGUCGAGUUGUUUGGGAAUGCAGCUCAAAAUGGGUGGUAAAUUUCAUCUAAAGCUAAAUAUUGGCCAGAGACCGAUAGCGCACAAGUAGAGUGAUCGAAAGAUGAAAAGCACUUUGGAAAGAGAGUUAAACAGUACGUGAAAUUGUUGAAAGGGAAGCGCUUGCAACCAGACUCGCAGGCCGUCGAUCAUCCGGGGUUCUCCCCGGUGCACUCGGCGGUUUUCGGGCCAGCAUCGGUUUGGGUGGUGGGAUAAAGGCCUUGGGAAUGUAGCUUCUUUCGGGGAGUGUUAUAGCCCUCGGUGCAAUGCCGCCUACCCGGACCGAGGACCGCGCUUCGGCUAGGAUGCUGGCGUAAUGGUUGUAAGCGACCCGUCUUGAAACACGGACCAAGGAGUCUAACAUCUAUGCGAGUAUUUGGGUGUUAAACCCAUAUGCGUAAUGAAAGUGAACGGAGGUGAGAACCCUUAAGGGUGCAUCAUCGACCGAUCCUGAUGUCUUCGGAUGGAUUUGAGUAAGAGCAUAGCUGUUGGGACCCGAAAGAUGGUGAACUAUGCCUAAAUAGGGUGAAGCCAGAGGAAACUCUGGUGGAGGCUCGCAGCGGUUCUGACGUGCAAAUCGAUCGUCAAAUUUGGGUAUAGGGGCGAAAGACUAAUCGAACCAUCUAGUAGCUGGUUCCU